Betta splendens (Siamese fighting fish) is the source of this 653-nucleotide long non-coding RNA. RefSeq lists it as uncharacterized. The transcript has 2 exons. The record is from RefSeq and is a predicted model, not a curated record. NCBI's taxonomy places the organism in Eukaryota, Metazoa, Chordata, Actinopteri, Anabantiformes, Osphronemidae.
CUCUCUCCUGACAGACGGGUUAUUACUCUUAUUCAUCUCGGCCCGUUCUCUCUAUCCUCCACGGGAGCCAGAGAGCGAGCCACAAGAAACGAGGUUGUCGGUCUCGACAGGGAGCAGCGAGAGGGUCCUCAGGUCACGGCAGAAACAAGAAAAAGAUGAAUUAGACGAACGGACUGAUUCCUCUGGAACGUCUGCACAGGAUGUGCAAACGGGACGCCGGGCGCUUCUCCGUGGGCGCGUCCGUGCCGAUAGAGGAGUCAAACCCGGGCCGGCCGCCGCCACCUGCGCCCGUGAGUCAGAGCCGGAGAGAUGGGCUGUGGCAGAUACGACGGAGGCAGUGAGCGUCUGGUGACUGGAUCCGUGGGCCUCCGAGCCGCCGUUUACAGUUUGGGAGCCUUGAAGUUGACAACGCGGCUGGAAAGAUGUACAGCCUGUCAGGAGCCAUCACGUGCGGCGCGUCCGGCGCUGCUGAGCGCUGGUUCUGUAAGUCAGAUGCUGCUGAGCGCUGGUUCUGUAAGUCAGAUGCUGCUGAGCGCUGGUUCUGUGUGUCAGACGCAGCCUCGCUAAUUCUGGGAGCGCGUGUGUGCGCGCCCGCCAGCAUUAUUUAGGGCAGUGAUUGUUUUCUGAGCUCUAUUAAAUGAAAGCUAAUGUUA